CUGAAAAUCUUGUUUUUAUAGUUAUUCAAUAUCUUGUUGUUAGACAUGAGAAAUAUAAAUUUUUUGUGGUCAUCAAUUUUAUCUCUCCUGUCUAUCAAUUUACUGGUCAGUGCUCCCUGAGAACUGUCCAGGUCUGUAUCUCAGAUUGUUGCUUAAUGACACCUGACAGAAACACUGUUUCCAGAAAUCAGUUAAAGACACAAAUUGUCACAGCCCAGGCAGGGAGCUCAUUACCUGCCACAUAAGAUCAAUUAUGGAAGUCAGAGAAACGGUGGGUGGGGUUACCCAACCAGUUAGUGGAAAUCAGCUCACACCUGCUUCAAACUUCAGCUAGGAGGAAAGCAAACCUGUUUGUAAAAGAACAUUAGCUGUUAUUAUAGAAGUGAAAACAUCGUGUUCUCCACUGCUGUUAGUGCAUUGCCAGUUUCUAGAUCCCAAACCUGUUUGUCUUAAAAAACAAAUUCAUAGCUAACAAUGCAGCAAUUCUUCCUUUUGCACCCCCUUCAUCUCUAUCUGGUUAAUAUUUUAGGAAGAAAAAUAAGAGAAUUCUAACGUUUUUGUUUGUCUCGUUUGAUUGUAGGUGAGCUUUGAAAUUAAUCCUACCAUUUAGGAAACAAUUUAAUAGCAUUUUACUUUGCAUAACCUCAAAGUCCCCUGUCUCCCCAGUUGUGCUAAGGCAUGGUUACUACCUGAAGAUCCAUGUUAACCUUUAAGAAGGGCAUUCAUCGGAGCCUGACUGCACACGACCUCCUGGGCAAACCCUGGAAAGUGUUCUGUGUGAUCUUCGGAUGCUGAGGCCCUCAUGGCACCAACUGAACGGGAUCACCCAGCUUCAUGAUCAUUCUGUGAUGUCCAUGGCAAUAGGAAAUGCGUGACAGGGGAGCUGAAGCCCCAGAGACCCUACCUUGUACUUUACAAAGCUCCACUUUCUCAGCUCAGCGGUCUAACCCACAAGCCGCGUGGAGGGCCUCGUGGGAUGGGAAUACAGUGACCAGCAGUUACACAAGAUCCACUGCCUACCUUAGGAAGAAAUACGGUUCAAGGGAAGGAGAAAGAUCGUCCACCUGUAAAUGGGGGAGCACACGUGGGACCAGAAAUAUUGCUGCAUCCUCAAUGGGAAAAUGCUUCUGCAACACGGUUGAGAGUUGUCAAUAUUAUCUUCAUUUUGCCAUCAACCUGCCACGUUUCAGGGAAUUUUCUACUUGUUCGGAUUGGCAAUUUUCCACCUUCUCUUUUUCUCAAAUAUAGGUUGCAGAAUUCGAGUCACAGAUAGCGUGAGGGCAAACAACGCGGGCACAGUGGACUUCAGAGAAGCAUUAAUGAAACUUUAAAUUGCACGUGGCCUCAGGAUAUCCCACACAGUGUCUGUGGCAAUAUGCAAAUUUGUGGUAUAUGAAAUUAGGAGUGUCUUAUUUCAAACUCCAAAUUGGCCUUCAGGAAAUUGCUUCUGAAGUUACUGUAUUAGUUUGCUAGGGCUGCUAUAGAAAAAUAAAACAACUAGGUGACCUGAACAGCAGAAAUUUAUUUUCUUACAAUUCUGGGGGCUGGAAGUCCAAUAUCAAGGUGUUAGCAGGGUCAGGUGCUAGCAGGGUUAGAUCAAG
Molecule: long non-coding RNA, 1601 nt
Organism: Pan troglodytes (chimpanzee)
Lineage: Eukaryota; Metazoa; Chordata; Mammalia; Primates; Hominidae
Source: Ensembl